UACGAAGGGGGCUAGCGUUGCUCGGAAUCACUGGGCGUAAAGCGCACGUAGGCGGAUUGCUAAGUCAGGGGUGAAAUCCUGGAGCUCAACUCCAGAACUGCCUUUGAUACUGGCGACCUUGAGUCCGGGAGAGGUGAGUGGAACUGCGAGUGUAGAGGUGAAAUUCGUAGAUAUCGAGAGGAACACCUGCGGCGAAGGCGGGUUGCUGGGCCGACACUGACGCUGAUGCGCGAAAGCCAGGGGAGCGAACGGG
RNAcentral lists this ribosomal RNA (253 nucleotides) under uncultured bacterium. RNAcentral's name for it is "partial 16S ribosomal RNA". It matches the Rfam family "Bacterial small subunit ribosomal RNA", at positions 524 to 776 of the family's 1533-position model. The record is from RNAcentral.